This 73-nucleotide transfer RNA is filed under the name Mediterraneibacter gnavus. Its description in RNAcentral is "[Ruminococcus] gnavus tRNA-Trp". It matches the Rfam family "tRNA". From Rfam's summary of the family: Transfer RNA (tRNA) molecules are approximately 80 nucleotides in length. Their secondary structure includes four short double-helical elements and three loops (D, anti-codon, and T loops). Lineage: Bacteria; Bacillati; Bacillota; Clostridia; Lachnospirales; Lachnospiraceae. The record is from RNAcentral.
GGGUGUAUAGUUCAGUUGGUAGAGCAAUGGUCUCCAAAACCAGAUGUCAUCGGUUCGAUUCCGGUUGCACUCG